AGUGUACUUCCUGGGGCCUCU
RNAcentral lists this microRNA (21 nucleotides) under Oryctolagus cuniculus (rabbit). RNAcentral describes it as "ocu-miR-7180-5p". Lineage: Eukaryota; Metazoa; Chordata; Mammalia; Lagomorpha; Leporidae. The record is from miRBase by way of RNAcentral.